Molecule: non-coding RNA, 30 nt
Filed under: Rattus norvegicus (Norway rat)
Lineage: Eukaryota; Metazoa; Chordata; Mammalia; Rodentia; Muridae
Source: RNAcentral
UAAUUUUGGUCGGUCACAUGUACCUUGGAA